RNAcentral lists this ribosomal RNA (325 nucleotides) under uncultured eukaryote. RNAcentral's name for it is "partial 18S ribosomal RNA". It matches the Rfam family "Eukaryotic small subunit ribosomal RNA", at positions 1470 to 1796 of the family's 1831-position model. The record is from RNAcentral.
CCCUUAGAUGUUCUGGGCCGCACGCGCGCUACACUGAUGCAUUCAACGAGCCUAUCCUUGACCGACAGGUCCGGGUAAUCUUUGAAUCUGCAUCGUGACGGGGAUAGAUUAUUGCAAUUAUUAAUCUUCAACGAGGAAUGCCUAGUAGGCGCAAGUCAUCAGCUUGCGUCGAUUACGUCCCUGCCCUUUGUACACACCGCCCGUCGCUCCUACCGAUUGGGUGUGCUGGUGAAAUGUUCGGAUCGGCCGUUUGUCGCGGUUUCCGCGUCAUGUGGCUGAGAAGUUCAUUAAACCCUCCCGCCUAGAGGAAGGAGAAGGCGUAACA